GGGGGUGUGGCGGAACUGGCAGACGCAGCGGACUUAAAAUCCGCCGGCCAAAAGCCGUGAGGGUUCGAGUCCCUCCACCCCCA
Molecule: transfer RNA, 83 nt
Filed under: Acidobacteriota bacterium
Lineage: Bacteria; Pseudomonadati; Acidobacteriota
Description: Acidobacteria bacterium tRNA-Leu
Rfam family: tRNA
About the family: Transfer RNA (tRNA) molecules are approximately 80 nucleotides in length. Their secondary structure includes four short double-helical elements and three loops (D, anti-codon, and T loops). Further hydrogen bonds mediate the characteristic L-shaped molecular structure. tRNAs have two regions of fundamental functional importance: the anti-codon, which is responsible for specific mRNA codon recognition, and the 3' end, to which the tRNAs corresponding amino acid is attached (by aminoacyl-tRNA synthetases). tRNAs cope with the degeneracy of the genetic code in two manners: having more than one tRNA (with a specific anti-codon) for a particular amino acid; and 'wobble' base-pairing, i.e. permitting non-standard base-pairing at the 3rd anti-codon position.
Source: RNAcentral